AGAGUUUGAUCCUGGCUCAGAACGAACGCUGGCGGCGCGUUUUAAGCAUGCAAGUCGAACGGUAGGGAGGUGCUUGCACUUCCUGAGAGUGGCGAACGGGUGAGUAACACGUAGGUGAUCUACCGCAGGGGUUGGGGAUAGCCCAUGGAAACAUGGGGUAAUACCGGAUACGCUCAUUUGGCUAUGGCCGAAUGAGGAAAGGCGCUUCGGCGUCGCCCUGCGAUGAGCCUGCGCCCCAUUAGCUAGUUGGUAGGGUAAAGGCCUACCAAGGCAACGAUGGGUAGCCGGCCUGAGAGGGUGAUCGGCCACACUGGGACUGAGAUACGGCCCAGACUCCUACGGGAGGCAGCAGCUAAGAAUCUUCCGCAAUGGACGAAAGUCUGACGGAGCGACGCCGCGUGGGUGAAGAAGGCCGGAAGGUUGUAAAGCCCUUUUCUUGUUGAGGAGUAAGCACAGGAGGGAAUGCCUGUGCGAUGACGGUAGGCGAGGAAUAAGUCCCGGCCAAUUACGUGCCAGCAGCCGCGGUAACACGUAUGGGACGAGCGUUGUUCGGAAUCAUUGGGCGUAAAGGGCGCGUAGGCGGCGAGGUAAGCCUGGUGUGAAAGACCGCAGCUUAACUGC
This 621-nucleotide ribosomal RNA is filed under the name uncultured bacterium. RNAcentral's name for it is "bacterial SSU rRNA". It matches the Rfam family "Bacterial small subunit ribosomal RNA", at positions 8 to 616 of the family's 1533-position model. The record is from RNAcentral.